This 512-nucleotide ribosomal RNA is filed under the name Macrogyrus ellipticus. RNAcentral describes it as "partial 16S ribosomal RNA". The stretch from base 389 to 512 matches the Rfam family "Bacterial large subunit ribosomal RNA", at positions 2473 to 2597 of the family's 2925-position model. Lineage: Eukaryota; Metazoa; Arthropoda; Insecta; Coleoptera; Gyrinidae. The record is from RNAcentral.
CUCUUUUUGAUUUGUAUAAAAAGUAUAACCUGCCCACUGAAAUUAUUUAAAUGGCCGCAGUAUUUUGACUGUGCAAAGGUAGCAUAAUAAUUAGUUUUUUAAUUAAAAGCUUGUAUGAAUGGUUGGACGAGGUAAAUUCUGUCUUUAAAUAAUAUAUAAUAGAAUUUAAUUUUUAAGUUAAAAAGCUUAAAUAAUUUUAAAAGACGAGAAGACCCUAUAGAUCUUUAUUAUUUAAAUUAAAAAUUAAAUUUGGAAAUUUAUUUAUUUUUUUGUUAUAAUAAUUUUAUUGGGGUAAUAUAAAGAUUUAUAUAAUUCUUUAUUUUUAUUUACAUAAAUUUAUGGUUUAUUUGAUCCAAUUUUAUUGAUUAUAAGAUUAAGUUACCUUAGGGAUAACAGCGUAAUUUUUUUGAAGAGUUCUUAUCGAUAAAAAAGAUUGCGACCUCGAUGUUGGAUUAAAAGUAAUUUUAGGUGUAGAAGCUUAAAGUUUUGGUCUGUUCGACCAUUAAAUUUUU